RNAcentral lists this ribosomal RNA (496 nucleotides) under uncultured bacterium. Its description in RNAcentral is "partial 16S ribosomal RNA". It matches the Rfam family "Bacterial small subunit ribosomal RNA", at positions 28 to 507 of the family's 1533-position model. The record is from RNAcentral.
GAUGAACGCUGGCGGCGUGCCUAAUACAUGCAAGUCGAGCGAACGGACGAGAAGCUUGCUUCUCUGAUGUUAGCGGCGGACGGGUGAGUAACACGUGGAUAACCUACCUAUAAGACUGGGAUAACUUCGGGAAACCGUAGCUAAUACCGGAUAAUAUUUUGAACCGCAUGGUUCAAAAGUGAAAGACGGUCUUGCUGUCACUUAUAGAUGGAUCCGCGCUGCAUUAGCUAGUUGGUAAGGUAACGGCUUACCAAGGCAACGAUGCAUGCCGACCUGAGAGGGUGAUCGGCCACACUGGAACUGAGACACGGUCCAGACUCCUACGGGAGGCAGCAGUAGGGAAUCUUCCGCAAUGGGCGAAAGCCUGACGGAGCAACGCCGCGUGAGUGAUGAAGGUCUUCGGAUCGUAAAACUCUGUUAUUAGGGAAGAACAUAUGUGUAAGUAACUGUGCACAUCUUGACGGUACCUAAUCAGAAAGCCACGGCUAACUACGUG